RNAcentral lists this ribosomal RNA (486 nucleotides) under Triticum aestivum (bread wheat). RNAcentral's name for it is "partial small subunit ribosomal RNA". Lineage: Eukaryota; Viridiplantae; Streptophyta; Magnoliopsida; Poales; Poaceae. The record is from RNAcentral.
AAAGAAGUGAGUGGGAGGAAAGUAGAACUUGACGAGGUAACUGUACCUGCUCCCUUACUGGAAAGUAGUUCAUCACAGAAAACUGUUUCAGUGACACCUACACCAGUUAGUGAGGAAGCCAAUGAUAAUGAUCAUGAAACUUCAGAUCAAGAUACUACUGAACCUCGUAGAUCAACCAGAGUAAGAUCCACGCCAGAGUGGUACGGUAAUCCUGUUCUGGAAGUCAUGCUACUAGAUCAUGAUGAAUCUACGAACUAUGAAGAAGCGAUGGUGAGCCCAGAUUCCGCAAAGUGGCUUGAAGCCAUGAAAUCUGAGAUGGGAUCCAUGUAUGAGAACAAAGUAUGGACUUUGGUUGACUUGCCCGAUGAUCAGCAAGCAAUUGAGAAUAAAUGGAUCUUUAAGAAGAAGACUGACGCUGAUGGUAAUGUUACUGUCUACAAAGCUCGACUUGUCGCAAAAAGGUUUUCGGCAAGUUCAAGGGAUUGA